Molecule: long non-coding RNA, 1158 nt
Organism: Medicago truncatula (barrel medic)
Lineage: Eukaryota; Viridiplantae; Streptophyta; Magnoliopsida; Fabales; Fabaceae
Exons: 3
Source: RefSeq, a predicted model, not a curated record
CAUAAAAUAUUGAGGGAGGUAGAGAGAGAAAGAACUAGAGAAAAGGGUUUCGGUAGAAGAAGAGCUUGGAGAGGAAGAAGAGGCUAGAGAUUAAAGGAGAAAAAGUGAAUCCAAGGCUAAGAUUGUGCUUAGUUGAGCCUACACACAUGUGCAAUGUAGAAAAAACGCUGAUUGUCCAAAAUAUUUGUGUAUGCUCCCACUAAAACCGAAGUGCAAAGAAACUUUCUGGUGUACGUGCAUAGAAAAAGAGCGGCUAUGAUGAACAUGGAUUUUUGUUCAGCCUUGGAUUUUUGAUGUUCAAUCUAUCUAUCUAUAUCUAUAUCUAUCAAUGUAUUUUAUUUUUUUACAAUAAAAAAUCGAAUAUAUUACGACCAAAUGAGACUCCUUAAAAGCACAAGUUGCGCGAGAAAGGAGCUCAAAAGUUUACAUAUAUACAACCGAUCAAGUAGUAAGGAAACAACAACAAAACAAAUUAGUCAAUGCUCAUACAAACAAACAGGUGACCACUGAUGACAGAUCAUCUUACGAUAUUCUUACGAUGUUUUUCAGUUAAUUUCAGUAGGUUUUAGCAGCAAAAAGGAUGAGUAGUAGAACAAUUGCUUAUGAUUUCGGGACUUUUGUAAUGUUUUCUAUAUUUGAGUAUACAAUUCUAGUUUUCCCAAAGCAUAGCAAUUUUAGGAGGUUUUUGAAGUAAUUCACAAAGAAAUCAUGCAAAUUGGAAAGACCAAGAAUGAAGAUACAAGAGGCCUCAGGAGACUUUACAGUGGGAGGAAUUUUGUUCCCAAGUUCUGAGGCAAGUUAUUUGAAGACGAAGACCUAAAAACAACGAAAAUCGGAGAAACUGGGACAAAGGAGCAUAACCAUGCACCUUGGGAACAUGGGAUGCGCCUUGGGCAUGGCAAAAACAUGCCAUGCGCCCGAGCAUUUGAAAUACGAAGGGCGCAUGCGUAAUUUUAUGCUUUUUUGUGGGUAAAGCCCGCGUUUUUAGCCCAAACUCAGUCAGAAACUCUCACUAUAAAUACUAGCCUUCCUCAUUUAUAAUUUUUCGUUCAGAACUGUGGCAGUUCAAGAGGAAGGUGUAACACCCCGUUUUCCCAACUUAAAAAUUUCACAUAUAAAUCAGUGUAUUUCAACAUAAACGGAAUGUCACACUUCUUU